AAAUUGAAGAGUUUGAUCAUGGCUCAGAUUGAACGCUGGCGGCAGGCCUAACACAUGCAAGUCGAACGGUAACAGGAAGCAGCUUGCUGCUUUGCUGACGAGUGGCGGACGGGUGAGUAAUGUCUGGGAAACUGCCUGAUGGAGGGGGAUAACUACUGGAAACGGUAGCUAAUACCGCAUAAUGUCGCAAGACCAAAGAGGGGGACCUUCGGGCCUCUUGCCAUCGGAUGUGCCCAGAUGGGAUUAGCUAGUAGGUGGGGUAACGGCUCACCUAGGCGACGAUCCCUAGCUGGUCUGAGAGGAUGACCAGCCACACUGGAACUGAGACACGGUCCAGACUCCUACGGGAGGCAGCAGUGGGGAAUAUUGCACAAUGGGCGCAAGCCUGAUGCAGCCAUGCCGCGUGUAUGAAGAAGGCCUUCGGGUUGUAAAGUACUUUCAGCGGGGAGGAAGGCGAUAAGGUUAAUAACCUUGUCGAUUGACGUUACCCGCAGAAGAAGCACCGGCUAAUUCCGUGCCAGCAGCCGCGGUAAUACGGAGGGUGCAAGCGUUAAUCGGAAUUACUGGGCGUAAAGCGCACGCAGGCGGUCUGUCAAGUCGGAUGUGAAAUCCCCGGGCUCAACCUGGGAACUGCAUUCGAAACUGGCAGGCUAGAGUCUUGUAGAGGGGGGUAGAAUUCCAGGUGUAGCGGUGAAAUGCGUAGAGAUCUGGAGGAAUACCGGUGGCGAAGGCGGCCCCCUGGACAAAGACUGACGCUCAUGUGCGAAAGCGUGGGGAGCAAACAGGAUUAGAUACCCUGGUAGUCCACGCCGUAAACGAUGUCGACUUGGAGGUUGUGCCCUUGAGGCGUGGCUUCCGGAGCUAACGCGUUAAGUCGACCGCCUGGGGAGUACGGCCGCAAGGUUAAAACUCAAAUGAAUUGACGGGGGCCCGCACAAGCGGUGGAGCAUGUGGUUUAAUUCGAUGCAACGCGAAGAACCUUACCUACUCUUGACAUCCAGAGAACUUAGCAGAGAUGCUUUGGUGCCUUCGGGAACUCUGAGACAGGUGCUGCAUGGCUGUCGUCAGCUCGUGUUGUGAAAUGUUGGGUUAAGUCCCGCAACGAGCGCAACCCUUAUCCUUUGUUGCCAGCGGUUAGGCCGGGAACUCAAAGGAGACUGCCAGUGAUAAACUGGAGGAAGGUGGGGAUGACGUCAAGUCAUCAUGGCCCUUACGAGUAGGGCUACACACGUGCUACAAUGGCGCAUACAAAGAGAAGCGACCUCGCGAGAGCAAGCGGACCUCAUAAAGUGCGUCGUAGUCCGGAUUGGAGUCUGCAACUCGACUCCAUGAAGUCGGAAUCGCUAGUAAUCGUGGAUCAGAAUGCCACGGUGAAUACGUUCCCGGGCCUUGUACACACCGCCCGUCACACCAUGGGAGUGGGUUGCAAAAGAAGUAGGUAGCUUAACCUUCGGGAGGGCGCUUACCACUUUGUGAUUCAUGACUGGGGUGAAGUCGUAACAAGGUAACCGUAGGGGAACCUGCGGUUGGAUCACCUCCUUACCUUAAAGAA
Molecule: ribosomal RNA, 1552 nt
Filed under: Enterobacter hormaechei
Lineage: Bacteria; Pseudomonadati; Pseudomonadota; Gammaproteobacteria; Enterobacterales; Enterobacteriaceae
Also listed under: 1 other name
Description: bacterial SSU rRNA
Rfam family: Bacterial small subunit ribosomal RNA
Source: RNAcentral